GGACGUGUAGCUCAGCGGUAGAGCACCUCGUUGACAUCGAGGGGGUCACAGGUUCGAUCCCUGUCACGUCCACCA
Molecule: transfer RNA, 75 nt
Filed under: Phenylobacterium sp.
Lineage: Bacteria; Pseudomonadati; Pseudomonadota; Alphaproteobacteria; Caulobacterales; Caulobacteraceae
Also listed under: 4 other names
Description: tRNA-Val
Rfam family: tRNA
About the family: Transfer RNA (tRNA) molecules are approximately 80 nucleotides in length. Their secondary structure includes four short double-helical elements and three loops (D, anti-codon, and T loops).
Source: RNAcentral